UUAGUCAGGACUGCAGAUAAAAA
Molecule: non-coding RNA, 23 nt
Filed under: Cricetulus griseus (Chinese hamster)
Lineage: Eukaryota; Metazoa; Chordata; Mammalia; Rodentia; Cricetidae
Source: RNAcentral